GCACCAGUGACUCGUCGAUCUGCCUCUCUCCCCCACAAGGUACGUUAUUCUUAUCCCCUUGUUGCGUCCUCCAGCGGACAUGCAAAUUGUGGCAAUAUUGUUGGAUCCUUCAGUUUUGUGGAGUGUUUUGCAUCAUAUUGUGGUCCACGACAAAGGAAUGUGUUUCUACUUUUGUUUCCCUGCACAUUGUAAUCGGCGGUCGUAGCAGCGAUUAGUUCUCUUCUACCAUGUCCGCCCAUGAUAUUUGUGGCUUCUCCACCGUCUGCUAAUGUUGCUGCCGUUGCGGUGCGUUGGCCACACAUCAGAAUUCCACCUGCUGGACUCACAUGGCAUAUGCUACGGGGCAACUAGAUAGAGUCCCGCCCCAAGGGCUCGACCUUCUCCAUCCAAUCUUGUGGUCGGUGCGGAACUCUGAGAUGAUGUGUGCAAGGUUGAUACAACUGGGCAUGUAAGUGUGUUAGGGUGGCUCAGAUUGAAAUUACAGCACUCAUUGGCCCAGAUCUGAUGGUGUCAAUUAGGAACAAUUCAACUUAUAACCCUCAGGUUUCUGGAGACCAUUCUUCAUGAAUGCACACAUAUAUUCCCGGUUUAUUGUGCUAAUGCCUGACAUUAUGGAUUUAUUAUUGUGCUUCGAUGCAAGCAUAUUAUUUGUGUGCUUCUACGCAAGCAUAUUACAUAAAGAUACAAGCCAGCUGCUAGCUAAAGGAAUUUUGUUUGUCCUUGAUACGGUUGAGAUCUUAGAGGAAGAGGCCUUCAAAUUAAUUUGAUUAUGUUUCCAUGGAUAUCCGGUAAUUUCAUGUCUUGUUUCACGAAGUGUACUCUUCAAUCUUCUCAAGUUGAUAUAUUAGGUGUUGGUUUCUUCAUCUUUAAAAUCAACACUAUAUAAUAAUAAAUAUCUCAAAUCUUUGCAGGAAGAAUUAGUGCUUUCACAACACUCAGUGGCAGCUAAAGCUGUAGUUUUUCAUGUACCAGAUAAUUGCCUUGAAGAGAAAAUAGUUGCUUGUGUUAGUACCAUGCAUGAGUGGAGGUGGGUUGAUGCAGCAAUUAUUCACCAAGGAGAAUGCACAGAAGUGUCGGUGCAACAGCCCCUGUGUCCAUUGCCCAGACUGUGCACAGGCACAAGAACAAGAUUGAAGCACCGGAUGAAGUGAGAGAUUGAAGGACCAAGAGAUUUGAAGAACCAACAUGUAGUUCAGAGGGACCAAGAUCAAGCCAGAGGAGCAACAUAUCGGCAAGAGAAGGGCCUCCCUUGCCGGGCAGGCGAGCCCGGCAAGGGGUGAGGCCACCACCAGAAGCAGACGAUCAAGACACCCCGGCAGGGCCUGCCGGGGCUCGUGGAGGCAAAACCUCCCCACCAACCACUCAAACACGACCCACGUCAUCAAUCAGUGCGGUGUCAAGCCGCAAGGUGAUUAAGUGGCAGCCAUUCGGCACAUGGCGGCCAUUUCCUACAGAACAAACCCACAGAUGACACUCGUCCUGCGAUGUGUCAAGAGAACAGGCACGGAGCUGGCAAGAUAGCCCGGCAAGCCUUGUCGGGCAACCAAUGAUGUGACACUAAGCAGUGCAUUUAAUGCACCCUGUCAGCCCGUAGAGUUAGGUAUGAUAGCACUGUUUGCCAUCAUAUCAAUGGAUAAUGACCACUUUGCCAUUCUGGUGACCCCUUAAUCUAUAAAAGGAGGCCCAUGGCACUCGUAGGAAGGGUUGGAAAGUUGACGAACCCACACCCUCAUAAGCGCGUAGUCGAUGCUGCCCUACGGCGACCCCUGUCGGGCAAGUGUACUGCAUUGCACCAUCCCCAUUCCACCAUCAAUCCACUAAAGCAGGAGUAGGGUUUUACGCCUCGCGGCGGCCUGAACCUGGGUAAAUUACUUGUGUGCUCUCUGCCGUGAUGCCGUGCACUGGUCUACUCUUUGUGCAACGCGACGUCCCCCUGCCGAACCAGCAAGGGGCCUCCUGGUCCCAUAGGUGGCCGUGGAUAUCCCGCGACAACUUUGGCGCGCCAGGUAGGGGGCUCGCUUGCGCGAACCUGAAAGCAUGCGCAGCGCAUCAUCUUCAUCACCAUCUUCGUCUUUGAUGACGCCAUCGACCAUGGCGCCCAAGAAGAAGAAGUCCAGCCCUUUGACCCAUCCGUCCACCUCGAAGGCUCCGCCGCCCGCGGCCUCUGGUGCCUUGGAGGAUGCGGGGGCGAGCAAGGACGUGAACGCUGCUCGGGGCGUGGUUGGAGCAGGUGGCGCCAUCGCCGCUCCCCCCGCGGCCGGCGCGGGGGCUGGAGAUGUCGGAGGAGAACAGCAUCAGCAAUGCCUUGACGGUCACGCUCCACAAGGUACGGCCGAGGGGGUCACUCCGUUUGCACCCCCUCCUACCACUGACGGGCACACCCGCAGCAAUGGUGCUCGGUACGGGGUGAGCCAUCGUCCUCCUGCCGCCCCCACCGCGGGAGAGACCGCGGCCCACGUGCCUCCUCCCGAACGAGCCGACCAGACCGCUACGCCCGUCGGAGCCGCUGACCAUCGAGCACCAUCGCCGCGUGACCCCACUGCCCAUGUGGUCAUCCCACAGCUGCGUGGACGCGGCACUACCGCCAUCACCGCCGCUGGCACCAUCAGGAGCCGGGAGACGGUGAUGUCUACUACGCAACCUUCUUCUUAUAGACGUUGUUGGGCCUCCAAGUGCAGAGGUUUGUAGGACAGUAGCAAAUUUCCCUCAAGUGGAUGACCUAAUGUUUAUCAAUCCGUGGGAGGCGUAGGAUGAAGAUGGUCUCUCUCAAACAACCCUGCAACCAAAUAACAAAGAGUCUCUUGUGUCCCCAACACACCCAAUACAAUGGUAAAAUGUAUAGGCGCACUAGUUCAGCAAAGAGAUGGUGAUACAAUUGCAAUAUGGAUGGUAGAUAUAGGUUUUUGUAAUCUGAAAAUAUAAAAACAGCAAGGUAACUAAUGAUAAAAGUGAGCACAAACGGUAUUGCAAUGCGUUGAAACAAGGCCUAGGGUUCAUACUUUCACCAGUGCAAGUUCUCUUAACAAUAAUAACAUAAUUGAAUCAUAUAACUAUCCCUCAACAUGCAACAAAGAGUCACUCCAAAGUCACUAAUAGCGGAGAACAAACGAAGAGAUUAUGGUAGGGUACGAAACCACCUCAAAGUUAUCCUUUCUGAUCGAUCUAUUCAAGAGUCCGUAGUAAAAUAACACGAAGCUAUUCUUUCCGUUCGAUCUAUCAUAGAGUCUGUACUAGAAUAACACCUUAAGACACAAAUCAACCAAAACCCUAAUGUCACCUAGAUACUCCAAUGUCACCACAAGUAUCCAUGGGUAUGAUUAUAUGAUAUGCAUCACACAAUCUCAGAUUCAUUUAUUCAACCAACACAAAGAACUUCAAAGAGUGCCCCAAAGUUUCUACCGGAGAGUCAAGAUGAAAACGUGUGCCAACCCCUAUGCAUAAGUUCACAAUGUUACGGAACCCGCAAGUUGAUCACCAAAACAUACAUCAAGUCGAUCACGUGAAUAUCCCAUUGUCACCACAGAUAAGCACAUGCAAGACAUACAUCAAGUGUUCUCAAAUCCUUAAAGACUCAAUCCAAUAAGAUAACUUCAAAGGGAAAACUCAAUCCAUUACAAAAGAGUAGAGGGGGAGAAACAUCAUAAGAUCCAACUAUAAUAGCAAAGCUCGCGGUACAUCAAGAUCAUAUCACCUCAAGAACAUGAGAGAGAGAGAGAGAUCAAACACAUAGCUACUGGUACAUACCCUCAGCCCCGAGGGUGAACUACUCCCUCCUCGUCAUGGAGAGCAUCGGGAUGAUGAAGAUGGCCACCGGUGAGGGAUCCCCCCUCCGGCAGGGUGCCGGAAUGGGUCUAGAUUGGUUUUCGGUGGCUACAAAGGCUUGCGGCGCCGGAACUCCGGAUCUAGGUUAUGUUUUGGGGGUUUCCAUAUAUAUAAGAGGUUUUGGCGUCGGGAACAAGUCAGGGGGGUCUCCGAGGCGGCCACAAGGUAGGGGCGCGCCCAAGGGGGUAGGGUGGGCCCCCCACCCUCGUGGGUGCCUCGGGAACCUUCUGGCCCAUCUCCGAUGCUCCGUGGGCUUCUUCUGGUCCAAAAAUAAUCUCCGUCAAAUUUCAGGUCAAUUGGACUCCGUUUGGUUAUCCUUUUCUGCAAUAGUCAAAAACAAGGAAAAAUAGAAACAGGCACUGGGCUCUAGGUUAAUAGGUUAGUCCCAAAAAUCAUAUGAAAUAGCAUAUAAAUGCAUAUAAAACAUCCUAGAUGGAUAAUAUAAUAGCAUGGAAUAAUCAAAAAUUAUAGAUACGUUGGACACGUAUCAAGCAUCCCCAAGCUUAAUUCAUGCUCGUCCUCGAGUAGGUAAAUGAUAAAAUCUGAAUUUUCAAUGUGGAAUGCUACCUAACAUAAUUAUCAAUGUAAUCUUCUUUAUUGUGGCAAGAAUAUUCAGAUCCAUAAGAUUCAAAACAAAAGUUUAAUAUUGACAUGAAAACAAUAAUACUUCAAGCAUACUAAGAAAGCAAUCAUGUCUUCUCAAAAUAACAUGGCCAAAGCAAGCUAUCCCUACAAAAUCAUAUAGUCUGGCUAUGCUCUAUCUUCAUCACACAAAAUAUUUAAAUCAUGCACAACCCUGAUGACAAGCCAAGCAAUUGUUUCAUACUUUUGAUGUUCUCAAACUUUUUCAAUCUUCACGCAAUACAUGAGCGUGAGCCAUGGACAUAGCACUAUAGGUGGAAUAGAAUGGUGGUUGUGGAGAAGACAAAAAGGAGAAGAUAGUCUCACAUCAACUAGGCGUAUCAACGGGCUAUGGAGAUGCCCAUCAAUAGAUAUCAAUGUGAGUGAGUAGGGAUUGCCAUGCAACGGAUGCACUAGAGCUAUAAGUGUAUGAAAGCUCAACAAAAGAAACUAAGUGGGUGGUCAUCCAACUUGCUUGCUCACGAAGACCUAGGGCAAUUUGAGGAAGCCCAUUAUUGGAAUAUGCAAGCCAAGUUCUAUAAUGAAAGAUUCCCACUAGUAUACGAAAGUGACAAGAUAGGAGACUCUCUAUCAUGAAGAUCAUGGUGCUACUUUGAAGCACAAGUAUGGUAAAAGGAUAGUAGCAUUGCGCCUUUUCUCUUUUUCUCUCAUCAUUUUUUUUGGGCCUUCUCCUUUUUUAUGGCCUCUUUUUUUUAUUUGGGCUUCUUUGGCCUCUUUUAUUUAUUUAUUUUCAUCCGAAGUCUCAUCCCGACUUGUGGGGGAAUCAUAGUCUCCAUCAUCCUUUCCUCACAUGGGACAAUGCUCUAAUAAUGAAGAUCAUCACACAUUUAUUUACUUACAACUCAAGAAUUACAACUCGAUACUUAGGACAAAUAUGACUCUAUGUGAAUGCCUCCGGCGGUGUACCGGGAUGUGCAAUGAAUCAAGAGUGACAUGUAUGAAAAUCAUUAACGGUGGCUUUGCCACAAAUACGAUGUCAACUGCAUGAUCAUGCAAAGCAAUACGACAAUGAUGAAGCGUGUCAUAAAAACGGAACGGUGGAAAGUUGCAUGGCAAUAUAUCUCAGAAUGGCUAUGGAAAUGCCAUAAUAGGUAGUAUGGUGGCUGUUUUGAGGAAGGUAAUGGUGGGUGUUAUGGUACCGGCGAAAGUUGCGCGGCACAAGAGAGGCUAGCAAUGAUGGAAGGAUGAGAAUGUGUAUAAUCCCUGGACUCAACAUUAGUCAUAAAGAACUCAUAUACUUACUGCAAAAAUUUAUUAGUUAUCGAAACGAAGUACUAUGCACAUGCUCCUAGGGGGAUAGAUUGGUAGGAAAAGACCAUGGCUCGUCCCCGACCGCCACUCAUAAGGAAGACAAUCAAUAAAUAAAUCAUGCUCCGACUUCGUCACAUAACGGUUCACAAUACGUGCAUGCUACGGGAAUCAUAAACUUUAACACAAGUAUCUCUCAGAUUCACAACUACUCAACUAGCAUGACUCUAAUAUCACCAUCUUCAUAUCUCAAAACAAUCAUAAGGAAUCAAACUUCUCAUAGUAUUCAAUGCACUUUAUAUGAAAGUUUUUAUUAUAUCCCUCUUGGAUGCCUAUCAUAUUAGGACUAAAUUUUAUAACCCAAGGAAAUUACCAUGCUGUUUAAGACUCUCAAAAUAAUAUAAGUGAAGCAUGAGAGUUCAUCUAUUUCUUCAAAAUAAAACCACCUCUGUGCUCUAAAAGAUAUAAAUGAGGCACUAGAGCAACGACAAACUACUCCGAAAGAUAUAAGUGAAGAUCAAUGAGUAGUUGAAUAAUUAUGUAACUAUGUGAAGACUCUAACAUUCAAGAAUUUCAGAUCUUGGUAUUUUAUUCAAACAGCAAUCAAAACAAAAGAAAAUAAAAUGUCGCUCCAAGCAAAACACAUAUCAUGUGGUGAAUAAAAAUAUAGCUCCAAGUAAAGUUACCGAUGAACGAAGAUGAAAGAGGGGAUGCCUUCCGGGGCAUCCCCAAGCUUAGGCUCUUGGUUGUCCUUGAAUAUUACCUUGGGGUUCCUUGGGCAUCCCCAAUCUUAGGCUCUUGCCACUCCUUAUUCCAUAGUCCAUCGAAUCUUUACCCAAAACUUGAAAACUUCACAACACAAAACUCAACAGAAAACUCGUAAGCUCCGUUAGUAUAAGAAAAUAAAUCACCACUUAGGUACUGUUGUGAACUCAUUCUAAAUCCUUAUCGGUGUAAUAUCUACUGUAUUCCAACUUAUCUAUGGUUCAUACCCUCCGAUACUACUCAUAGGUUCAUCAAAAUAAGCAAACAACAUAAUGAAAACAGAAUCUGUCAGAAACAGAACAGUCUGUAGUAAUCUGUAUCAAACAUAUACUUCUGCAACUCCAAAAAUACUGAAAUAAAUUUUUUGACCUGAGGAAUUUGUCUAUUAAUCAUCUGCAAAAAUAAUCAACCUAAAAGCACUCUCCAGUAAAAAAAAUGGCAGCUAAUCUCGUGAGCGCUAAAGUUUCUGUUUUUUUACAGCAUGAUCAUAAAGACUUCACCCAAGUCUUCCCAAAGGUUCAACUUGGCACAAACACUAAUUAACAUAAAACCACAUAUAACCAGAGACUAGAUAGAUUAUUUAUUACUAAACAGGAGCAAAAAUCAAGGAACAAAAAUAAAAUUGGGUUGCCUCCCAGCAAGCGCUAACGUUUAACGCCCCUAGCUAUGCAUGAUGAUUUCAAUGAUGCUCACAUAAAAGAUAAGAAUUGAAACAUAAAGAGAUCAUCAUGAAGAAUAUGACUAGAACAUUUAAGUCUAACCCACUUCCUAUGCAUAGGGAUUUUGUGAGCAAACAACUUAUGGGAACAAUGAUCAACUAGCAUAUGAAGGCAAAACAAGCAUAACUUCAAAACUUUAAGCACAUAGAGAGGAAACUUGAUAUUAUUGCAAUUCCUACAAGCAUAUAUUCCUCCCUCAUAAUAAUUUUCAGUAGAAUCAUGAAUGAAUUCAACAAUAUAACCAGCACCUAAAGCAUUCUUUUCAUGAUCUACAAGCAUAGAAAUUUUAUUACUCUCCACAUAAGCAAAAUUCUUCUCAUUCAGAAUAGUGGGAGUAUCAUAAGAAACUCGAAUACUAUAAAUUGUUUCCAUAUUAAAAGAGUAUUGUUCAGAAAUAGGGUAAUCAUAAUGACACGUUUUAUAAAUAUAAUUAUCACUACUUUUUAUAGCAUAAGUGUCAUCACAAUAAUCAUCAUAAAUAGCAACUUUGUUCUCAUCAUAAUCGAUUGAAACCUCUUCCAAGAUAGUGGAAUCAUUACUAAAUAAAGUCAUGACCUCUCCAAAUCCACUUUCAUAAUUGUCACAAUAAGAUUCAACACCCUACAAAAUAGUGGGAUCAUUACUUCCUAAAGUUGACACUCUUCCAAGCCCACUUUCAUCAAUAUAAUCAUCAUAAGUAGGAGGCAUGCUAUCAUCAUAAUAAAUUUGCUCAUCAAAACUUGGGAGGCUGAAAAUAUCAUCUUCAUUAAACAUAGCAUCCCCCAGCUUAUGACAAACAUUAAUUGCAGCAAAUAUAUUCUCAAACAUGUCAUUCUCAUCAAACAUAGCAUCCCCAAGUUUGGGCCUUUUCAUAUCAUAAGCAUGAUCACUCUCAUCAUUAAUAGUAUGGAUAGCACCAAUAGUAUAGCAAUUAUCAUCAUUACAAUGAGUAAUAGGAGCAACAUCAUUUGGGAGGGAUACCUUUUCACCUUUGCUUCUCCGUCUUUUCUUUUUCUUCUUCACAUUAUGUGUGGGUUUAAUCCUCUUUUUGGAGCUCCUUAUUAAUGAGAUUGGUUGAAUAGAAGGUUCCUCCUCGUUACCUGAUUCAUCAUAAGAAAUAAUAGGAAGAUAUUGGGAAGUAUCUUCUCUUUCAUUAGUAUUCUCUUCAUCUUCUAUUUGUUUUCUUUUCUUUAUGUAAUUGGCAAUAUAAGGAUUUUCAAUGCAAUUCACCGCACAAUACAUAAAAAUUUCUUCUAGAUCAAAAUCAAGAAAUCUAUCAAGAUUAAAUUUUGGAAUACCCUCAGUUAUACGUUUCAUUUCUAUAUACCCCAAAAGAAGACUAAGCUCUUUAUGAUGCUCAAGGUUAAUCAAGUUAUCACAAUUUUUGGACACGAUUUGAUCAUGAAACAAAUAGCAUUGGAGCUUUAAAUGACCAUGUUCAUUGCAAAGUUCACAAGGAUGACGAUAAAUAUUGAAUCUUUCAGCACAAUCAUCUAGCCUUUCUUGCAACCAUUUAUCUAUCUUCCCUAUUUGGUAUUCCACAAAAUAUGGCAUGCUUAUAAGAGACAUUUUCAUCAUGACUAGUGCAAUCAUCAUUAGUACUAUGGAUAUUCAAAGAAUUCAUUCUAACAACAUUGCAAUCAUGCUCAUCAUUCAAAUAUUUAGUGUCAAGCAUUCUAAUGCAUUGUUCUUGUAACAUUUUGGCACAAUUGUCGGAAUCCUUAUUUUCAUGAAAGAUAUUAAAAAGAUGAAGCAUAUGAGGUACCGUCAAUUCCAUUUUUUUGUAGUUUUCUUUUAUAGACUAAACUAGUGAUAAAGCAAGAAACUAAAAGAUUCAAUUGCAAGAUCUAAAGAUAUACCUUCAAGCACUCACCUCCCCGGCAACGGCGCUAGAAACUGCUUGAUGUCUACUAUGCAACCUUCUUCUUGUAGACGUUGUUGGGCCUCCAAGUGCAGAGGUUUGUAGGACAGUAGCAAAUUUCCCUCAAGUGGAUGACCUAAGGUUUAUCAAUCCGUGGGAGGCGUAGGAUGAAGAUGGUCUCUCUCAAACAACCCUGCAACCAAAUAACAAAGAGUCUCUUGUGUCCCCAACACACCCAAUACAAUGGUAAAUUGUAUAGCGCACUACUUCAGCAAAGAGAUGGUGGUACAAGUGCAAUAUGGAUGGUAGAUAUAGGUUUUUGUAAUCUGAAAAUAUGAAAACAGCAAGGUAACUAAUGAUAAAAGUGAGCACAAACGGUAUUGCAAUGCGUUGAAACAAGGCCUAGGGUUCAUACUUUCACUAGUGCAAGUUCUCUUAACAAUAAUAACAUAAUUGGAUCAUAUAACUAUCCCUCAACAUGCAACAAAGAGUCACUCCAAAGUCACUAAUAGCGGAGAACAAACGAAGAGAUUAUGGUAGGGUACGAAACCACCUCAAAGUUAUCCUUUCUGAUCGAUCUAUUCAAGAGUCCGUAGUAAAAUAACACGAAGCUUUCUUUCUGUUCGAUCUAUCAUAGAGUUCGUACUAGAAUAACACCUUAAGACACAAAUCAACCAAAACCCUAAUGUCACCUAGAUACUCCAAUGUCACCACAAGUAUCCAUGGGUAUGAUUAUACGAUAUGCAUCACACAAUCUCAGAUUCAUCUAUUCAACCAACACAAAGAACUUCAAAGAGUGCCCCAAAGUUUCUACCGGAGAGUCAAGACAAAAAUGUGUGCCAACCCCUAUGCAUAAGUUCACAAUGUUACGGAACCCGCAAGUUGAUCACCAAAACAUACAUCAAGUCGAUCACGUGAAUAUCCCAUUGUCACCACAGAUAAGCACAUGCAAGACAUACAUCAAGUGUUCUAAAAUCCUUAAAGACUCAAUCCGAUAAGAUAACUUCAAAGGGAAAACUCAAUCCAUUACAAGAGAGUAGAGGGGGAGAAACAACAUAAGAUCCAACUAUAAUAGCAAAGCUCGCGGUACAUCAAGAUCGUAUCACCUCAAGAACACGAGAGAGAGAGAGAGAGAGAGAGAGAGAUCAAACACAUAGCUACUGGUACAUACCCUCAGCCCCGAGGGUGAACUACUCCCUCCUCGUCAUGGAGAGCGCCGGGAUGAUGAAGAUGGCCACCGGUGAGGGAUCCCCCCUACGGCAGGGUGCCGAAACGGGUCUAGAUUGGUUUUCGGUGGCUACAGAGGCUUGCGGCGGCGGAACUCGCGAUCUAGGUUAUGUUCUGGGGGUUUCUGUAUAUAUAAGAGGUUUUGGCGUCGGGAACAAGUCAGGGGGUCUUCGAGGCAGCCACGAGGUAGGGGGCGCGCCCAGGGGGUAGGGUGCGCCCCCCACCCUCGUGGGUGCCUCGGGAACCUUCUGGCCCAUCUCCGAUGCUCCGUGGGCUUCUUCUGGUCCAAAAAUAAUCUCCGUCAAAUUUCAGGUCAAUUGGACGCCGUUUGGUUUUCCUUUUCUGCAAUACUCAAAAACAAGGAAAAACAGAAACUGGCACUGGCUCUAGGUUAAUAGGUUAGUCCCAAAAAUCAUAUAAAAUAGCAUAUAAAUGCAUAUAAAACAUCCUAGAUGGAUAAUAUAAUAGCAUGGAACAAUCAAAAAUUAUAGAUACGUUGGAGAUGUAUCAGACGGUGCGGUCGACUUCAUCGACAUCUAUGCCAAGCACAGCCACGGAGGCUAUGGCGCGAGCUCAGUUGCUACUGAAGUUUCCGCCUGCGGCCGAGCAGAUGUAUGAAUGGCAUGCCACCAUCCAGAGCCUGUUGGGUUUCGCCGAUGCUGAGGGCUCACGACGAGCUGGCCCGCCACGACCUCCUCAAGCGACACCGACCGCCCGUACUGCUGGCCGAACGGAGGGGGGCGUCGCCACGGUGCAGUCCCCUGCAUGGCAGCCGACACGGCCGCAGCUGAAUCAAGACCCCGACGAGGUCUCGAUGGCCUCUUCUGACCCUCGAGCACAUCCAGGCCAACAUCGAGCCCCGGAGGAUAGGCGGCGGGGAGACGCACGCGUCAACAUAGAUCGGCGCCACGACGACCUCCGCCAGACCGACGGGUGCGGCGGCCUCAAAGACGACGAGCCUGCGCUCGGUGUUGGCGGGUGCCUACCUUUCGAGGUCGGCUGCCCGACCUUUACACGAGAGUUGCGGCAAGUCCGUUGGCCGUCCGUUCGCACGUUCAAGCCAGAGAUACCUGAGAAGUACGAUGGGAGGCUGAACCCGGCAGAGUUCCUGAGCAUCUACACCAUCGCUGUUCAAGGUGUCGGGUGAAGAGAUGAGAAGGUGUUCACCAACUACUUCCCCUUGGCCCUCAAGUCCAAUGUGAGGUCUUGGCUGAUGCACCUACCGGAGAACUCCAUUUCUUCAUGGGCGGACCUAUGCCACGAGUUCAUCGGUGCCUUCACUGGUGGCACCAGGAGCCCGGCAGACCCAGCGACCUGCAACUUCUCCAACAGAAGGAAGGAGAAACUCUUCGUAAGUAUUUAUAGAGAUUCAGUAAAGUUCAUAGGAAUAUUCCGAAUAUCCAUCCAGAAGUUGUUAUGGCAGCCUUCCAGUCCAAUGUGCGCAACCGUCGCAUUCAUUCUAAGAUGAAUGUGUGGUUGCCCAAGACUGUGAAGGACCUAUACACACUGGUGGAUAAGGUGCUCGGAUGGAGGAAGGAAGAAAGUUGCCCGGAGAGGAGGAUUGCAUCAAUGUUGAUUCAGAGGAUAAGAUGAAUCAACCAGCCAGAGAAAGGGCAAGAAGCGCAGUAAGAAGCCAAGAGAUAAAGCAGUGAUGAUUGUAGAAGGUUCGGGCACGCCUAGUACCGGUAAGAAGGCCAAGGCAGAGGCCCUCAGCAAGGAAGUUGCCGCUUGCAUAGCCUGUCGGGAAGCUGCUGCCAUCGAAAAAGCUGGGAAAGGUGAUGGCCCGUAUUGUAAGAUCCACCGGACCAAGGGCCAUGACCUCCAGGAGUGUUAUCAGGUGGAGCAGUUUGUCAAGAAGCAGAGGGCAGAAUAUGAUAAGCGUGACAAGGAAAAAGGUCAGAAUGCCGCUGGCGGAAAGGGCUGAGGUGGUGAAGCAAAUCGCCCCGGCAAACCCUUUCGGAAAGAAGGAAAACCCGCCAGGGAUGAAGAGAAGGAAGUUUGUGAUGAUGUGAGCGAUGAAGGGAAUGAAGAGGAAACCAGUGAGUAGGAAUUUCAGAAGGCCACUCAUGCCCUAUGCAUUGAUGGGGGUGCAUCUUUGCACGCCUCCCACUGCCAGCUCAAGCGGUGGGCACGAGAGAUCAAUGUCGUGGAGCCAGCACCAGAGGCCCGAAAACCGCUCAAAUGGUCCCGCAAGCCAAUCAUCUUUGAUGAGGAGGAUCACCCUGGCUGCACCACCGUUUUAGGAUGCUUGUCGUUGUUGCUCUCCCCGACAAUUCGCAACCUCAAGGUCACAAAGAUGUUAGUGGAUGGCGGGGCCGGGUUGAAUCUGAUUUCCUCGGCAGUCAUCAGCAAGCUUCAGAUAGGAGAAGAAGAGCUAGAGGUUACCGGCAUGUUUCAAGGAGUUAACCCCAGCAGAAGCCAUCCUAAAGGGAAGAUUAUGUUGCCGAUGACAUUCAGGGGAGAACUGAACUACCGGACAGAGAAGGUUGUGUUUGAUGUGGUUGAUCUCCCCCUGCCGUACAAUGUGAUUCUUGGACGCCCGGCCCUGGCCAAGUUCAUGGCAGCAUGCCACUAUGCUUAUAACACUUUGAAGAUUCCUGGGCCACAGGGAGUCAUCACUAUCCCAUCGGAUGAGAAGGAUGCAAUUAUCGGCGUGGACAAGAUGUGCCGGGAUGCAGUCGCAGCAGAGGCUGCAGCAGCAACGGCUCCCGCCAAGCAAAGCAAAGGAAAAGAAAAGGGAUUUUAGGACCUCCGGCAAAGAGUCCGGCAAGCGUGCCCCUCCGAGUGCACGGCACCCGUUGACGAUGUGCUGGAGUGUUCCAACAGCAAGAGAUCCAAGGUCGCUGCACCCCAAGUGAAGAAGGUCCCGGCAGGGCUGGCUGGCGUUGAUGGUACUUUCACCAUCAGCGCCACCCUUGAUGACAAAUAGGAAAGCGCGCUUGUUGCCUUCCUGCGGGCGAAUGUCGAUGUGUUUGCCUGGCAACCAUCUGAUAUCCCCGGUGUUCCCAGGGAGGUAAUCGAGCACCACCUUGAUGUCUGCCCACGCGCCCGACCUAUCAAGCAGAAAGUCCAGAAGCAGGCCUUGGAGAGGCAGUAGUUCAUUGCCGAGGAAAUCAAGAAACUGGAGGCAGCUGGUUUGGUCAGAGGAGUACUGCAUCCUACAUGGUUAGCAAAUCCAGUGGUACUCCGGAAGGCUAAUAGGAAGUGGAGGCUUUGCAUUGAUUUCACAUAUCUCAGCAAGGCUUGCCCGAAGGACCCAUUUCCCUUGCCGCGCAUUGACCAGAUUGUGGAUUCCACUUCAGGGUGUGAUUUGCUCUCCUUUCUGGACGUGUAUUCCGGAUAUCACAAGAUCUUCAUGUCCAAAGAAGAUGAAGAGAAGACAUCGUUCAUCACCCCAUGUGGUACGUACUGCUUUGUCCGCAUGCCAUUCGGACUAAAGAGUGUUGGGUCCACUUUUGCAAGGGCAGUUCAGAUUGGUUUUGAGCCACAGUUGCACAGAAACAUAGAAGCCUAUAUGGAUGAUAUCAUGGUCAAAACAAGGAUAAGACCACUCUAAUCCAGGAUUUGGAGGAGACAUUUGCUAAUCUGCGCAAGAUCAAUUUGAAGCUUAAUCCGGAGAAGUGUGUGUUUGGAGUCCCCUCUGGCAAGCUGCUUGAUUUCUUCGUGUCCCAUCGGGGGAUCGAAGCUAACCCCGACAAGAUCAAAGCUAUCGAGCAAAUCCAAGCACCAAGGACAGUUAAGGAUGUGAGGCGCUUGACGGGAUGCGUUGCCGUGCUAAGUAGAUUCAUUUCCAAGUCUGCCGAGCGUGCCCUGCCAUUCUUUAAAAUUUUGAAGAAGGCAGGGCCCAUGAAGUGGACCCCGGAGGCAUAUGCAGCUCUGCAGGAGUUGAAGGCCUACCUAUCGUCUGUGCCUACCUUGGUUGCACCCAAACCCCAAGAGCCGUUGCUGCUAUACUUGACGGCAACCAACCAAGUGGUCAGUGCGGCCUUGGUAGCACAGCGAUAAGUGGAUGAGGCAGAAAGUGGACAGAUAACGGCAGAGUCAGAAAAGGAUCAGAACAGCAGUGAGCACGGCAACGAGGGCAACCCCAAGGACGCGGCAAGGAAGAAAGUGGUGCAGUGCCCAGUGUACUUCGUUAGCUCCUUGUUACAGGGGGCUAGAUCGAGGUACUCUGGCGUGCAAAAGUUGAUCUUUGGUCUCAUUAUGGCCUCAAGGAAACUGCGCCACUACUUCCAAGCCCAUGAGAUUACGGUUGUUACUCGUUUCCCGUUGCAAAGGAUACUCCGAAACCCUAAGGCUGCUGGUAGAAUAGUGGAGUGGGCUUUGGAGUUAUCCAGCUUUGGUCUGAAGUUUGAGAGCACAUCAACUAUUCAGAGCAGGGUGCUGGCAGAGUUUAUUGCGGAAUGGACGCCGGCCCCUGAUGAGGAAAUGACAGAGACAGCUAUCCCAGGCAAGGAAUCGCCCCAAGAAUGGAUUAUGUAUUUUGAUGGUACUUUUUUCCUACAGGGUGCAGGGGUUGGCGUGCUUCUUGUUUCCCCCUCCGGGAACACUUGAAGUACGUCGUCCAAAUGCACUUUGCCCGGGAAGAAGCCACCAACAAUACAGCUGAGUAUGAAGGGCUCCUUGCCGGGCUCAGGAUUGCAGCAGAAUUGGGAAUCAAGAAGUUGAUCAUACGAGGAGAUUCAUAGCUUGUGGUGAGACAAGUUAACAAGGAUCAUCAAAGCCCAUUGAUGGAAGCAUACAUCGAGGAAGUGAGGAGAUCAGAGGAGCACUUUGACGGGUUACAAACAAAGCACGUACCCCGUGCGAAAAACAGCAUAGCUGAUCACCUGUCAAAGUGUGAUGCACAGAAGCUUCCUGUGGAACCAGGAACUUUUGUUCUCCGUCUCUCUCAACCCUCCGUAUCACCAGCCACAAUGGCCCGGAAAAGGAGAAAGUUGGACUACGGUAAGCCUCUCCCGGUCGAGCCGUCCGCUCCCGGCAAAGACCCUGCCGGAAACAACUCCUCACAGCCUACCGGACCACCCCCUCCAGCCGGACCAAUGGACCCCGCGAACGAGGCUGGUGCUCCCGCAGCAGAGGAGGUGCCGCUAGUCCUCGUUGCCGAGCCCCAGGCUCCAACUUGGGCAAGGCACAUCAUCCGCUUCCUCCAAACCGGAGAACUUCCCGACGACCAAGAUGAAGCUGAGAAAGUAGCCCGGAGGGGCCAGUAUGUAUCAGUUUGUCGAUGACACUCUGUAUAGAAGGAGGCCCAAUGGUGUGAAAUUGAAGUGUGUCUGUCGGGAAGAUGGAAAGGAACUGCUGGCUGGGAUUCACAGAGGAAUGUGCGGCUCACACAUUGGAUCAAGGGCAUUAGUUGGGAAAGCAUUCUGGCAAGGAUUCUAUUGGCCCACAGCCCUCCAAGAUGCGGUUGAGCUCGUCACGACAUGUGAAGCCUGCCAGUUCCAUUCCAAGAGAACACACCUGCCUGCCCAAGCCCUUCAGACAAUCCCUUUAUCAUGGCCAUUUUCGGUCUGGGGGCUCGAUAUCCUCGGCCCCUUCCCCCGAGCAAUCGGGGGCUUUGAAUUCUUGUUUGUCGCUACCGACAAGUUUACAAAGUGGCCGAAGUGACUGUCGUGAGAAAGGUGACUGCUCAGUCAGCUAUCAAGUUCUUGAAAGAAUUGGUGUGUCGUUUUGGAGUUUCGGCAAGGAUCAUCACCGACAACGGCACCCAAUUCAUGAGCCACGCCUUCAUGCAAUAUGUUCAUACCCUCGGAUGCAAGAUCUCAUUCGCCUCUAUGGCACACCCCCGGAGCAAUGGAAAAGCUAAGAGGGCGAAUGCUGAAGUGCUACGUGGACUCAAGACAAGAACUUUCGAUACGCUGCAGAAGCACGGCAGGCGGUGGAUCGAGGAGUUGCCGGUAGUUCUCUGGUCCCUCAGAACGGCACCUAACCGAGCUACCGGGCAGACUCCCUUCUCCCUGGUCUACGGGGCAGAAGCAGUUAUCCCCACGGAACUCAUUUACGGGUCCCCUUGAGUGCUUGCCUACAAUGAAGUAGCGCAAGAUCAGCACCGGCGUGACGAUGCUAUGCUACUUGAGGAGAACCGUCUCCGGGCUGCUACGCGUGCUGCACGCUACCAGCAAGCCCUGCGUCGCUAUCACAGCCACAGGGUUCAUGCCCGGUGUUUUGAGGAAGGUGACCAUGUCCUUAGGCGCUAUCUGUCCGCCAAGGGUACAAACAAGCUAUCACCAAAGUGGGAAGGCCCUUACCGGGUGGUACGAGUCACCAGACCCGGCGCAGUCCGUCUGGAGACCGGAGAUGGCACUCAGUUGCAAAACUCAUGGAAUAUUGAGCAUCUCCGCAAGUACUACCCGUAAGGCGCGAGGCUGCCCGGCACUGCCUGGCAGCCACCCUUUUGUACAGGCCUUGCCUCAGUUGCAUGUAACCCCUUGUACAAAGCCGGGGUGAUGACCCCGUGCAAGAGAAAAUAAAGAAGCGUUGUAGGGAGGCCAACUAAGAUUGCAUGCAUGCAUGAGCACACCAAGAUCACUGCAUAAGCAUUUCAUGAGCAUUUGCAUAUGCAUAUAGAUAGGAUUGCAUCCUACAUUCAUUCUCAUCUACAUGGAGUUGCAGGUUCCUGCUGUGAACUUGGCUUCGACAAAGAACGAGAAGAUUGCACGGCACAGCGAUCCCCGACAAGCCAAACAGAUAAGUUUUACCUCUUGUCCAUUAGUGUUCUGUAAAGCUAUAACUUUGCAUGAGAAAACCUCGCCCCUCUUUUGAAACUUAGGUGCUCCCAUCCAUGACUCGAAUGUUGCUUCGGUCAGGAUGGUCGCAGUAGCAUUUGGUAAUAAAGGAGCUAGCAGGGGGCUGGCCCCUCUGUCUGUCCCCCGGCAAACAAAGAGGGUACCGGCAGGAUAUCCUGCCGGGGAAAACUCGUUUAUUUUCAUUAAAGAGGCACUCCACCUAUGCAUGGAAAUACACAUGCACGGGUUCCCGGUAAAGUUCAUCUUUUUCAUUCGUAUGCUAAUACAAGUACAAGCAUCAUGGAGCACAAAGAUGGACUCGAGAGAUUACAUUAUUUUGAAUUAAAAUUUGGCGAUUGCCUACAAAUUUAAGAUUGGAAAAAGAUAAGUGCUCCGUAAACUCCUCUCCCUGUCCCUCUUAUCCCAGGUAUUGCGGUGGGAAGAGAAGAGGACGACCACCACGCCGGGCACCAUGCUCUCUAAAUCCUUCCACAGAGAGCAUGGUCGUCCCUGGGGGCCCUGACGAUGGAAGUCACCGCACGUCCUGAAGACGUGUGAGAAAGCAAGGAGCCUUCCUAUUCGAUGAGAAAACCGCGCCCAGGAGGAGCUAGAUUCACCCCCGUUAGCAGCGAAUCUCUCCUACGGCUCCUCCCCGAUGUCGCAGAAGGAAGAAGAAUGGGGAGCGGUCAACUACCACGUGCCGUGCCCAUCUCGAGCCGCGACAUGGUGUUGGUCGCGUCCCCUCCCAUUGAAGUCAAGGCCACGGACGACCCGGCGACAGGCACGCCGGGGGUACCACUCCCGGCGUCGGCGUCGCGCCGCCCGAACCUUCCUCUCAGAUCCAAGGGAGACCCCAAGUAAGAGCCCAGGGGCUGGCCCCAGGCUCUUCUCUUCGGCAUCGCCGGCAGAAGCGGAGAACAAGGGAAGAAGAGGAGGAAUGCGAAGAUGGAUGACUCCGCCCUCCUCCGCCCCUCCCUUUUAUAGGCUGGGCGAGGAAGGGCAGCUGCUCCAUCAACGGGUGGUCACCGCCCUCCUCCGCCAAUUCAAGGCAGGAGGGCCCUCUCCAAGAUGCUCUCCCGCGCCACGCGCCUCAGUUACCUAUCUCGCACGAUGCAUGCAGCAUACGUGGCCAAGGAUAAGGGCGCGCAGUGGGAAGAGUAAAUUGGCAGUUUCUACCCCGUGCGUUAAAGUCAUUCACGGGACACCACUGGAGCGGCCCCACCACUAUUGGCUUUACGCCACGCGCUGAAGAACCGGAAACUAGCCCGAAAUCAAAGCUAAUGAAGCAGCAAUGGAAACCUCAAGGGGCCAACCCCUUCAGCAAAACUGCCUGUGCACUUAUUAGGCCCUAACCUGACGACGCUCAGGAGCGUGUUUGGGGCAGGCCCGGGGGCUUCUGUCGGUGCAACAGACCCUGGGUCCAUUGCCCAGACUGUGCACAGGCACAAGAACAAGAUUGAAGCACCAGAUAAAGUCAGAGAUUGAAGGACCAAGAGAUUUGAAGAACCAAUGCAGUUCAGAGGGACCAAGAUCAAUCCACAGGAGCAAUAUAUCGGCAAGAGAAGGGCCUCCCUUGCCGGGCAGGCGAGCCUAGCAAGGGGCGAGGCCACCACCAGAAGCAGACGAUCAAGACACCCCGGCAGGGCCUGCCGGGACUCGCGGAGGCAAAACCUCCCCACCAACCACUCAAACACGACCCACAUCAUCAAUCAGUGCGGUGUCAAGCCGCAAGGUGAUUAAGUGGCAGCCAUUCGCCACAUGGCAGCCAGUUCCUACAGAAGAAACCUACAGAUGACACCUGUCCUGCGACGUGUCAAGAGAACAGGCGGGGAGCUGGCAAGAUAGCCCGGCAAGCCUUGACGGGCAACCAGUGAUGUGACACUAAGCGGUGCAUUUAAUGCACCCUGCCAGCCCGCAGAGUUAGGUAUGAUAGCACUGUUUGCCAUCAUAUCAGUGGAUAAUGACCACUUUGCCAUUGUGGUGACCCCUUAAUCUAUAAAAGGAGGCCCAUGGCACCCGUAGGAAGUGUUGGAAAGUUGACGAACCCACACCCUCAUACGCGUGUAGUCGCUGCUGCCCUACGGCGACCCCUGUCGGGCAAGUGUACUGUGUUGCACCAUCCCCACUCCACCAUCAAUCCACUAAAGCAGGAGUAGGGUUUUACGCCUCGCGGCGGCCCGAACCUGGGUAAAUUUCUUGUGUGCUCUCUGUCGUGCUGCCGUGCGCUGGUCUGCUCUUUGUGCAAUGUGACGUCCCCCUGCCGAACCAGCAAGGGGCCUCGUGGUCCCAUAGGUGGUCGUGGAUAUCCUGCGACAUCUUUGGUGCGCCAGGUAGGGGGCUCGCUUGCGCGAACCUGAAAGCGUGCGCAGCGCGUCAUCUUCAUCACCAUCUUCGUCUUCCAUGACGCCAUCGACCAUGGCGCCCAAGAAGAAGAAGUCCGGCCCUUCUACCCAUCCGUCCACCUCGAAGGCUCCGCCGCCCGCGGCAUCUGGUGCCUUGGAGGAUGCGGGGGCGAGCGAGGACGUGAACGCUGCUGGGGGCAUGGUUGGAGCAGGUGGCUCCAUCGCCGCUCCCCCCGCGGCCGACACGGGGGCUGGAGAUGUCGGAGGAGAACACCAUCAGCAACGCCUUGACGGUCAUGCUCCACAAGGUGCGGGCGAGGGGGUCACUCCGUUUGCACCCCCUCCUACCACUAACGGGCACAGCCGCGGCAACGGUGCUCGGUCCGGGGUGAGCCAUCGCCCUCCGGCCGCCCCCACCGCGGGAGCGACCGCGGCCCAUGUGCCUCUUGCCGGACGAGCCGACCAGACCACUGCGCCCGACGGAGCCGCUGACCCUCGAGCACCAUCGUCGCGCGACCCCGCUGCCCACAUGGUCGUCCCACAGCUGCGUGGACGCGGCACUACCGCCAUCGCCACCACUGGCACCAUAAGGAGCCGGGCGACGGUGUGGUCAACGUCAUCGACAUCUAUGCCAAGCACAGCCACGGAGGCUAUGGCGCGAGCUCAGUUGCUACUAAGGUUUCCGCCGGCGGCCGAGCUGAUGGAUGAAUGGUGUGCCACCAUCUAGAGCCUGCUGGACCCUGAAGCCCCAAAUCAUCUUCUGUUAUGUAUGUACUCCCAUAAUUAUUAAGCAAAUUCCCAAAAAUGGUGUUUCUUUCAUGCGUAUAUCGUUUUGGUUCGGAGUUUUGGGCACUUGAUCCAAAUAUGAGGAAGGAUAGAUAUCUUGUAGCAAAUCAGAUUCAUGAUCAUGUCAUGAUUCCUCAAGGGCCUCAUGAUUGUUGGUGUUUCUUUCUUUCAAUUGAAGACACCAGAGUGAUUCCCUAAUUUUCAUAGUUGUACCAGCAGGAUUAUCAUAACAUCUAAGCAAAAUUUUCCUUGGUUAUUACACAGUUAAGGUAGUGAUUUUUUUGUAGAUUUCUACAGUGCCUAAUUUGAAUCAGUAAGGAUAAUUAUAUUUCAAGUCUUUAAUGCCAAGCUCAAAGUUUGAAGAUAGAAAAUUGAGGCGUGUGAUCAUAUGUCAAUACUUAAAGAGCCUUUAGUUUUUCUUAAUAAGAAUGCAGAAAUUGAAGCAUGUAGACCUUUUGAUGUAAACAUAUAGUCCCUCCAUCCAAAAUCAAGUGUCUUUGAUUUAGUAUAAUUGUAGUAUAAAGUUGUACUAAAUCAAAUACACUUAUUUUUGGACGGAGGGAGUAUAAGAUAUAGCUGAUGUGAUAAACCAGGGGUACCACUGCAUUUCAUUAUAUAGUUUUCUUAUGAUAUGUAGAAUUAAAUUAAAUGUAAUUUGCAUGUACAUUCAAAUUAUAGUAUUGCUAUGUAGUACUAAUAUGCAUGGUCACAUUAUGGUAAUGACCAUCUGCUAGGAAGUGAUGUACUUAUGACUUUACCACUCUCCAGGUACUUCUUGAAUGUACUUCUCGAGCUACUACUGCCUUAUACCAAGUAAAUCAUCUUUGUCAGCACUAGAUUCCUUGAACUUUAUUAGGUAUAUACAUCUCGCUCUUCCUCUGUUGUAAAUUUUGUACUCCCUCCGUCCCAAAAUAAGUGUCUCAACUUUGUACUAGCUUUAAUGCAAAGUUAUACUAAAGUUGAGACACUUAUUUUGAGAUGGAGUGAGUACAUACUAAGUGUUUAUUUUGAAUGAGCUUCUUAUAUUUCAGUGUUGUCGGUCGGCACAAUCACCAUAAUGCAAUGAUGAGUCACUCUUCUUGUACUGUUGCAUCUACAUAAUUGACCUUGUAUAUUUCCUGUUUAUAUGCCAAUAUAUGUGUCCAUGUGCUGACAUUUGUGAUCUGCAUUUUAUAACAAUUGCAAAAGGACAACAUAUUUGGCAUGGAACUUCUUUGAAAAUAUUCUUUGAAAUGGCACUGCUCUGUUUUCCUUUUACAAUCUCAAUAGAUACUAUACUGGUAUACUUUUUUCUUGUCAUGAUAAUUUGGGAUUUAUAUGUUGGGAGUCCUUCGAUGUGCAAAACAAUUCUUUUGUACUAUUAGAGUGCUCCACGUGUAGCAAUAUAAACUUAUUCAGAUUUCGUAUUUCUUUGAUGAUAUUGUAGGAAUAUUUAUCGUUCUUCAUACAUUCCGUGGAUGCCUCGUCAUAUAAAGGAGAUGAGAGAAAGGAACUGGUGAGGGUGAAAGUCGGUUUUGUGCUUCAAGGAUUGGAGGUUGUGAGAUUUACAAGAGGUGAUGGAGGACAGUUAGUUAUUGCGGCUUAACAUAUAGUAGUAGAAGAUGAGUACAAGGAUAAGCUCAUAGACAAACUAUAGAGCAUGAGGCACAUAUACUUUUGCAAUCUUAUUCAUUAUCUAAUGUAAGAGGAUCAAAUAUGUAUUUUGUUCUUGUGAAUGUUGAGAAGG
RNAcentral lists this long non-coding RNA (21845 nucleotides) under Triticum aestivum (bread wheat). Its description in RNAcentral is "long non-coding RNA (TAES_LNC004302)". The record is from RNAcentral. Lineage: Eukaryota; Viridiplantae; Streptophyta; Magnoliopsida; Poales; Poaceae.